Molecule: long non-coding RNA, 321 nt
Organism: Scatophagus argus
Lineage: Eukaryota; Metazoa; Chordata; Actinopteri; Scatophagidae
Exons: 3
Source: RefSeq, a predicted model, not a curated record
AAAAGGUGUUCUUUGGAGGCGCCGCUUGCCUUGUGAUCCUUGCUGUCCCAAAAGAUCUGCCAGUGGUGGUGACAACCCUAGCUGUGGUGGGCAAAUUUGCUGCUACUGCCUCUUUCAGCACAGCCUACAUUUACACUGCAGAACUAUACCCAACCGUUUUAAGGCAGAAUGGUGUAGGUGUGAACUUUAUGUGUGCUCGUGUGGCGGGCAUCCUGGUCUACCAUUACACCAUCCCUAUGCUUAUAUAUGGCAUUGUCCCUGUUGCUGCUGCGGGAUUGUGUUUGUUACUGCCUUAAACCCUCAAUGUUGAGCUUGAAGACC